CCUACGGGUGGCAGCAGUGAGGAAUAUUGGUCAAUGGACGAGAGUCUGAACCAGCCAAGUAGCGUGAAGGAUGACUGCCCUAUGGGUUGUAAACUUCUUUUAUAUGGGAAUAAAAUGUUCCACGUGUGGGAUUUUGUAUGUACCAUAUGAAUAAGGAUCGGCUAACUCCGUGCCAGCAGCCGCGGUAAUACGGAGGAUCCGAGCGUUAUCCGGAUUUAUUGGGUUUAAAGGGAGCGUAGGUGGAUUGUUAAGUCAGUUGUGAAAGUUUGCGGCUCAACCGUAAAAUUGCAGUUGAAACUGGCAGUCUUGAGUACAGUAGAGGUGGGCGGAAUUCGUGGUGUAGCGGUGAAAUGCUUAGAGAUCACGAAGAACUCCGAUUGCGAAGGCAGUUCACUGGACUGCAACUGACACUGAUGCUCGAAAGUGUGGGUAUCAAACAGGAUUAGAUACCCUUGUAGUC
Molecule: ribosomal RNA, 460 nt
Filed under: uncultured bacterium
Lineage: Bacteria
Description: partial 16S ribosomal RNA
Rfam family: Bacterial small subunit ribosomal RNA
Source: RNAcentral